UUUUGAAAUUGCAUAAAUCUGAUAAUUUCAUUACAAAUUUCUGAAUCAUAUAGUAAAACAUUAAAUGUGAUACACCACUAUCUAAAAAGGGAGCACGGCUUCUAAUUGUCACAAUUUCUCAAAUACAAUUCACAAAGAAAUCUCAAAAAAUGAGAGGUAAUUGAACAACUGUGACAACUUCCAUGCUUGACCUACGCAAAUCAGCAUCUAUUCCAGUUACUUCAGUUCCUUCAGUGACAAUACCAGUCACAAUAAUCUUCCUUCCUUUAAUUUACCAAUUAUUUUUACAUUUGUUACUUUCGGGGAAGAUGUGGCAACCACAUGUAAUAUCUUAAUAUUAUAGCACAAAGCAUUUAAAAAUAAGCUACUAAAGGACCUGACUCAACUAUCUGAGACAUUAUUGACAUAGGCUUUCCUGCUUGGCCUAAAAAAUAGUGAAAAAACAUUGAGUUAAUAUCAGCUAAAAUACUAGGGAAUGCUCAAUGAGAAAUAUUGUUAGACUAGUCCAAACUAUGAAGAAUGAGCUAACCUUCAAAGUUCACAGGUAUAUAAACAAAAUCCAAUCUAUUGAUAGCUCUAAAUAGAAGUAAGAAUUGAAGUACAAAUAAAAUAAUAAUAAUUAUAAUUUUAGGUCAGUAGAUUCAAUCGAAGAAAGUAUGUAGCAAGCCAAUAUUCUUUUCCUUUCUAUAAGAAGUUACUAGUGUAAUCAGGCUAAAUAUAUAUGGUGAAGUACAAAGGUCAAAUAUUCUAUUCAUGAGUCUUAAAAUCAAGAAAAACAAUGCAUGAGGAACAUGAUAAGUGAGAACAGUCAAGAUAUCAGUUCGGAUCUACAACUGCAGAUCAGCUCCACUAGGUUAUCUCAGAGUUCAAAUAUAGGUCAAGUUACAGCUAGAGUCAGAUCAGCUCCACUAGGUUAUCUCAGAGUUCAAAUAUAGGUCAAGUCACAGCUCGAGAAAUUUUAUUGGGAAUGAUGCUCGAAAUCACCCUUUGGAUAAGCUGCAAUCCCAAUAAAGCCGGUAUUCAAUGUGUUCGAAAGAGAUCAUUUUUAU
RNAcentral lists this long non-coding RNA (1049 nucleotides) under Olea europaea subsp. europaea. The record is from RNAcentral. Lineage: Eukaryota; Viridiplantae; Streptophyta; Magnoliopsida; Lamiales; Oleaceae.